RNAcentral lists this ribosomal RNA (497 nucleotides) under uncultured bacterium. RNAcentral's name for it is "partial 16S ribosomal RNA". It matches the Rfam family "Bacterial small subunit ribosomal RNA", at positions 28 to 507 of the family's 1533-position model. The record is from RNAcentral.
GACGAACGCUGGCGGCGUGCCUAAUACAUGCAAGUUGAGCGCUGAAGGUUGGUACUUGUACCGACUGGAUGAGCAGCGAACGGGUGAGUAACGCGUGGGGAAUCUGCCUUUGGGCGGGGGACAACAUUUGGAAACGAAUGCUAAUACCGCAUAAAAACUUUAAACACAAGUUUUAAGUUUGAAAGAUGCAAUUGCAUCACUCAAAGAUGAUCCCGCGUUGUAUUAGCUAGUUGGUGAGGUAAAGGCUCACCAAGGCGAUGAUACAUAGCCGACCUGAGAGGGUGGUCGGCCACAUUGGGACUGAGACACGGCCCAAACUCCUACGGGAGGCAGCAGUAGGGAAUCUUCGGCAAUGGACGAAAGUCUGACCGAGAAACGCCGCGUGAGUGAAGAAGGUUUUCGGAUCGUAAAACUCGGUUGGUAGAGAAGAACGUUUGUGAGAGUGGAAAGCUCAUCAAGUGACGGUAACUACCCAGAAAGGGACGGCUAACUACGUG